RNAcentral lists this transfer RNA (74 nucleotides) under Anaerolineales bacterium. Its description in RNAcentral is "tRNA-Arg". It matches the Rfam family "tRNA". From Rfam's summary of the family: Transfer RNA (tRNA) molecules are approximately 80 nucleotides in length. Their secondary structure includes four short double-helical elements and three loops (D, anti-codon, and T loops). The record is from RNAcentral. Lineage: Bacteria; Bacillati; Chloroflexota; Anaerolineae; Anaerolineales.
GCCCUGGUAGCUCAACAGGAUAGAGCAAUCGCCUCCUAAGCGAUAGGUUGCGGAUUCGAUUUCCGCCUAGGGCA